This 461-nucleotide ribosomal RNA is filed under the name uncultured bacterium. RNAcentral describes it as "bacterial SSU rRNA". It matches the Rfam family "Bacterial small subunit ribosomal RNA", at positions 8 to 525 of the family's 1533-position model. The record is from RNAcentral.
AGAGUUUGAUCCUGGCUCAGAACGAACGCUGGCGGCAGGCUUAACACAUGCAAGUCGAACGAUAUAGUGGCAGACGGGUGAGUAACGCGUGGGAACGUGCCUUUCACUAAGGAAUAGCUUUUGGAAACGAAAGGUAAUACCUUAUACGCCCUUCGGGGGAAAGAUUUAUCGGUGAAAGAUCGGCCCGCGUUAGAUUAGCUAGUUGGUGAGGUAAUGGCUCACCAAGGCUACGAUCUAUAGCUGGUCUGAGAGGACGACCAGCCACACUGGGACUGAGACACGGCCCAGACUCCUACGGGAGGCAGCAGUGGGGAAUAUUGCACAAUGGGCGCAAGCCUGAUGCAGCCAUGCCGCGUGAAUGAUGAAGGCCUUAGGGUUGUAGAAUUCUUUCGCUAGGGAUGAUAAUGACAGUACCUAGUAAAGAAGCCCCGGCUAACUUCGUGCCAGCAGCCGCGGUAAUA